CUCAUUUUUUUCAUGCAUUCCUACUGUGUCAUUUUUUACAGUGCAUGCAUUUCUAUGGAUGCUGUGUCUCCCAAUUAGAAAUUCUCUGGGCUACAAUACAAAAAUCAAGUCAAAAGCUGGGCCAAAUAUCCAGUCAAGAAAAUCUGGUUGUGUACAGAUUCAUACACCAAAGCUAUAGAAAAAUAUCAGCGGCUGAUGGACACUUCUAGUAUUGAGGCGGAAGAAGAUGCGAGCGUCCAGAAAAGGCAGUGCAGGGUCACGUGAUGAUGAAACCGUUCCGCAAGCAAGAGAGCAUUCCAGGAUGGUGCGUGUGCCUUGAAGCCCUGUCAGCAGAUGUCACUGUCUCCACCACCUGCAUCUAGGAAUUUCUGGCAAAGUUCUCAAUUGGUUUGCAUCCUACCUCAAAGGACAUUCAUUCAUCUCCUUUCUGAGAGCUGGGGAGAAGCCUUCUUCAUUUCAACCAUCAAAACCAUGCCUGCUUUCCACGGCUCCAGACUGGCAGGGUGAGUGGAUCUUGGGAAACAACUCAAGUUCCCUAAGCCACAUAGCUCCAACAACACAGCGCCUAGAUAUGGUCAUCUUCUCAGAUUCCACCAAGCAGGUGAUCAUGUGAGAAUUGACAGUGCCCUGAGAAGAACACAUGUAGGAGGCUCAUGAAAGGAAGCGUGCCAAAUACCAUGAGCUGGUGGAGCAGUGCAGGAGCUGUGGCUGGAAGGCUUGCUAUUGAAAUAGGCUGUCGGGGCUUUGCAGGGAAUUCACUCUGCUGGGCUUUGACAGCUGGAAUCACUGGAACAUCUAAGAGGGGGGCCAUGCCACUAGGUGGCUUUGGACAAAGAGGGUGAGCACGUGGCUUGAUGCUACUGGGAUGCAAGCCGGGACCUGAUCAACCCCAGCUGGGUCACCUAGGUGAGGAGGACUGACGUUGAAAGACUCGAAAACCUCAGUUGACCCCAGGAACAUCACUGAUGAAGCAUCCCAGUUCAUCCAAAGAGAUGUACAACUUCACCACAGACAAACCUCAGGGGACUAUUUCAGUUUGGAUGAAAGACACCUUCGGCUCAAGCUCUCCAAAACUGAGCUUCUGGUAUUCCCAAAUAAUACAGAUGUUCCCUAACAGAUCAGCAUCCAGCUUGGCUCAUCUUUACUGACUCCUA
Long non-coding RNA from Alosa alosa (allis shad), 1154 nucleotides. RefSeq lists it as uncharacterized. The transcript is spliced from 6 exons. Lineage: Eukaryota; Metazoa; Chordata; Actinopteri; Clupeiformes; Clupeidae. The record is from RefSeq and is a predicted model, not a curated record.